AGGUAUCGCCUGACCAGUGAUAUUAUUUUAACGGCCGMGGUACCCUAACCGUGCAAAGGUAGCGUAAUCAUUUGUCUCCUAAAUAGGGACUUGUAUGAACGGCUAACUGAGGGCCUAACUGUCUCCUAAGGUUAAUCAAUGAAACUGAUCUUCCAGUACAAAAGCUGAAAUAAACACAUAAGACGAGAAGACCCUGUGGAGCUUAAAACCAACACUAUAAAUCACCCCACUCUACGGGAAAACACCCCAUACUCCACCUCAACCAUAGCAAAGGUUUUCAGUUGGGGCGACUUUGGAAUAAAAUAAAACUUCCAUGCCAGAGACUACAUCUCUAUCAAGGCCAACAUGCCAAAAUAUAAUUUUUUGACCCAGCAUGCCUGAUCAACGAACCAAGUUACCCCAGGGAUAACAGCGCCAUCCUCUUCAAGAGUCCUUAUCGACAAGAGGGUUUACGACCUCGAUGUUGGAUCAGGACACCCAGGUGGUGCAACCGCUACCAAAGGUUCGUUUGUUCAACGAUUAAUAGUCCUACGUGAUCUGAGUCA
Molecule: ribosomal RNA, 545 nt
Filed under: Rhacodactylus trachycephalus
Lineage: Eukaryota; Metazoa; Chordata; Lepidosauria; Squamata; Diplodactylidae
Description: partial 16S ribosomal RNA
Rfam family: Bacterial large subunit ribosomal RNA
Source: RNAcentral